Molecule: long non-coding RNA, 261 nt
Filed under: Arachis ipaensis
Lineage: Eukaryota; Viridiplantae; Streptophyta; Magnoliopsida; Fabales; Fabaceae
Description: long non-coding RNA (AIPA_LNC000868)
Source: RNAcentral
GCCUGGGUCAGAUGGCAACUUUGUUUGCCUCACAUAGAGCUGCACCGGGUUCAAAUCCUCAUGGAAAAAUAUAGAACCAUGCUAAUUGUGUGUACCCAUGUAAUGUGUGUGAGUGUGUAGUACAUGGGUGUAAUGUCUAGGAUUGGGGACUGUCCAAUCCACUUGACCAGAAAAAAAAAAAAACAUAGAGAAUGCUAUACACUUGAAAUUUGUAACACCCUAAAAAAAAGUUUAAUUACUGUGUUGUUCUUUAUAGUUUCG